Molecule: long non-coding RNA, 204 nt
Organism: Esox lucius (northern pike)
Lineage: Eukaryota; Metazoa; Chordata; Actinopteri; Esociformes; Esocidae
Exons: 3
Source: RefSeq, a predicted model, not a curated record
GGUCCCUCUAGAUUUUAUGUUUUUGUACUUAAAUAGAAGCAUGAAAUUAGAGUGAGGGGUGGCAGACAGUCCCAGAGAGAGUGAAUCCCGCACCACUCCAGGAGAGAUGUGAAAUCCAGGAGGAAGACAUCCCUACAGAUUCAAUGCCAUUGGUUGAGGCACUUUGAGUCUGUACCACAAAAGAUGAUUAGAAUGUCACCGGAC